CGGGGUAUAGUUCCCGUGGUAAGCAUUCGACUGCAAAUCGAGAGGUCCCCCGGGUUCCCAAACCCCGGGUGCCCCCU
Non-coding RNA from Trichonephila inaurata madagascariensis, 77 nucleotides. Lineage: Eukaryota; Metazoa; Arthropoda; Arachnida; Araneae; Nephilidae. The record is from the annotation of a GenBank genome assembly.